UGUUCUACCCAGAAGAGUGGCUCAAGUUCACAUUCAGAAUUUAUUUGUUGAAAGAGUAUCUCCACUUUAUCACAAUCGAGCACUUCCAAUUCUUUCAGAAGUGGCCAGCUUGAACUAAACCUUCUAGAGCAAAAUCUUUUCAGUUGGUGUAAACCGGAGAGUGUGAGAGAGGUAAGGUUAGGGAAUAAGAGUAAAGGUGCUGCUUCAUCUUCAUUUUCAUUGGCAACAAUUGCCUCCACUCCACUCUCCGAUAUAUAUAGGUCCUCAAGAUGCACAAGAGCACUCGCCACAGAAACCGGAAAAAGGUUUAGCAGUUUGUUGCAUCCCCUUACUUGCAAUUUCCUUAAUUUGGAAAAUGAAUUUGCUGGAAGUUGGUCAGGCCACAAUGCUCUUAUAUUAUCUAGUCCGCGUACAGACAAGGACUCCAACCCUGGGAGUGCAACCUCUGCAAUUGAUGAUCCCUUUAGUUAAUAAUAUAUACAUAUACAUUCCUAAUAAUUAGACACAUGUAAAUAGAAAAUAAGAGGUUAAAGGAGAAUAUAUCAGUAUAACAAAGCACAAAAUUUAAACUAGAUUCAAGAAGAUCAAGAAAGAGAAAAGAAAAGAAAAAGCCUCCAGAUUUUGAAGAUACAAUGAAACUUAAAAAAAAAAAAAAAAACCUUCAAAUUUUCCUUUCGAAAUGAGCUAAUAAGAGGAUUUUUUUUUUCUUUUUUCUUUGCAUCUCUUUCAAAUUUGAUUAACUUCUAUGGAAAACGUAUUUUAACUAGUUAUGGAAAACGGAUAUUUUUUUUUUAACUUUUAUAUAAGAUACAAGUAAUACUUUAAAAAAAUUGUGAUAUCUAAAUAAUUUUUUGAAAAAUUAUUUUGAAAGAAAUAAGGUAAAUCUAUACUUUUUGUAUAAGAUGUUCAACCUUUAUAUACAAAUUUCUAAUUUUUUUUUUUAAAGUGUAUCCAAAUGGACACUAAACUAUCUAGUUUUUAAUUGUUACAACUUUGAAUUGGAUUUUAUGGUAAACUAAUUUACAAGUUAAUGCAUGGAUUCAUCUUAGAUUCCAUCUAUAAAUUUUUUUAAUUAUCUAAUAUAAGACAUUAUAUUAAUGGGUUGAAUUAAUAAUGUAAUUAUAAUUUAUUUGGCAACUUUCUUCCUUCAAAUAUAUAAAAUGAAAAUAAAUUUUAAAAAAUAAAAAAAAUGAAAAAAAUAAAAAAUAAAAAAAGAUUUUUUUUAUAGUUUUUCUAAGGUGAUUUUGUAGAGUAUUGUUAGUUUAUAGUUUUAACUUUAUUUCAUUUUACUUUUAACUUUAUUUAUUGAGGUAUGUUCUUUUUUGCAACUCUUGUUUAGAUUUUAUAGAGAAUAUAAAUUUUAAGAAAAAAAAUGAAAUUUAAAUAAAAUAAGAAUAAAGAAAGGCAAAAGGUGGAUGAAUUUUCUUAAGGCAAAAGUUUGAUAACUUGGCACUAUCAUGUAAUGGGUGAAAUUUUUAAAUACUCAACAAAGGCUAGUGAAAUUUAAAUUAAAAGCUUGACAUGUACCUUUUCGACCAAAAUCUUUGGAGUUGGUGUAAAGUUUUGAGUAUGAGAGAGGUUAGUAUAGGGAAUAUUAUUGCACAUUAGUUCAAAUAAAACAUCAACAUUUUUUUUUGUUAAAUUCUAAAUGAACACCACUAUAAAUUAAUGCGAUUUUGUAUGCUCAAUUAAAUAAACUCGUUCUUAAGGCAUCACAUGAAGUGUUUAAGUCUAAUUAAUAUUAAUUAAAAAUGAUUAUAUUAAAAAAAAUCCAAAGUAAUUUAUUUUUAUCAUAAGUCAAGUAGGAUAGUUUUAUAAAUAAUUGGUUCUAGUUUCUAGUAUUAUUGUACACAAUCGCUAUGUUUGUUGCACCUCCAAAAAAUCUACUACUUGUAAUUAAUUGUAUAUUAUUCUCCAUAUUCACAUCAGUUUAUGUAGUAUGAUUAAUUUAGCAACAAAAUAUAAGUUUACUUGAAAUCGCUUUAAAUUCCUAUGAUAUUAAAGUUUAAGAUUAAAACAAUGUAACAUUAGCCAAAAAGAUUAAGAUCUAUAAUGUAACAUAUAAAAUUUAGAAAAUUCAAGGAAGGGUAAACUCGCACCUGUUCUACCCAGAAGAGUGGCUCAAGUUCACAUUCAGAAUUUAUUUGUUGAAAGAGUAUCUCCACUUUAUCACAAUCGAGCACUUCCAAUUCUUUCAGAAGUGGCCAGCUUGAACUAAACCUUCUAGAGCAAAAUCUUUUGAGUUGGUGUAAACCGGAGAGUGUGAGAGAGGUAAGGUUAGGGAAUGAGAGUAAAGGUGCUGCUUCAUCUUCAUUUUCAUUGGCAACAAUUGCCUCCACUCCACUCUCCGAUAUAUAAAGGUCCUCAAGUUGCACAAGAGCACUCGCCACAGAAACCGGAAAAAGGUUUAGCAAUUUGUUGCAUCCCCUUCCUUGCAAUUUCCUUAAUUUGGAAAAUGAAUUUGCUGGAAGUUGGUCAGGCCACAAUGCUCUUAUAUUAUCUAGUCCACGUACAGACAAGGACUCCAAGCCUGGGAGUGCAACCUGUGCAAUUGAUGAUCCCUUUAGUUAAUAAUAUAUACAUAUACAUUCCUAAUAAUUAGACACAUGUAAAUAGAAAAUAAGAGGUUAAAGGAGAAUAUAUCAGUAUAACAAAGCACAAAAUUUAAACUAGAUUCAAGAAGAUCAAGAAAGAGAAAAGAAAAGAAAAAGCCUCCAGAUUUUGAAGAUACAAUGAAACUUAAAAAAAAAAAAAAAAAAACUUCCAAAUUUUCCUUUCGAAAUGAGGUAAUAAGAGGAUUUUUUUUUUCUUUUUUCUUUGCCUCUCUUUCAAAUUUGAUUAACUUCUAUGGAAAACGUAUUUUAACUAGUUAUGGAAAACCGAUUUUUUUUUUUUUAACUUUUAUAUAAGAUACAAGUAAUACUUUAAAAAAAUUGUGAUAUCUAAAUAAUUUUUUGAAAAAUUAUUUUUAAAGAAAUAAGGUAAAUCUAUACUUUUUGUACAAGAUGUUCUACCUUUAUAUACAAAUUUCUGAUUUUUUUUUUAAAAGUGUAUCCAAAUGGACACUAAACUAUCUAGUUUUUAAUUGUUACAACUUUGAAUUGGAUUUUAUGGUAAACUAAUUUACAAGUUAAUGCAUGGAUUCAUCUUAGAUUCCAUCUAUAAAUUUUUUUAAUUAUCUAAUAUAAGACAUUAUAUUAAUGAGUUGAAUUAAUAAUGUAAUUAUAAUUUAUUUGGCAACUUUCUUCCUUCAAAUAUAUAAAAUGAAAAUAAAGUUUAAAAAAUAAAAAAAAUGAAAAAAAUAAAAAAUAAAAAAUGAUUUUUUUUAUAGUUUUUCUAAGAUGAUUUUGUAGAGUACUGUUAGUUUAUAGUUUUAACUUUAUUUCAUUUUACUUUUAACUUUAUUUAUUGAGGUAUGUUCUUUUUUGAAACUCUUGUUUAGAUUUUAUAGAGAAUAUAAAUUUUAAGAAAAAAAAUGAAAUUUAAAUAAAAUAAGAAUAAAGAAAGGCAAAAGGUGGAUGAAUUUUUUUAAGGCAAAAGUUUGAUAACUUGGCACUAUCAUGUAAUGGGUGAAAUUUUUAAAUACUCAACAAAGGCUAGUGAAAUUUAAAUUAAAAGCUUGACAUGUACCUUUUCGACCAAAAUCUUUGGAGUUGGUGUAAAGUUUUGAGUAUGAGAGAGGUUAGUCUAGGGAAUAUUAUUGCACAUUAGUUCAAAUAAAACAUCAACAUUUUUUUUUUGUUAAAUUCUAAAUGAACACCGCUAUAAAUUAAUGCGAUUUUGUAUGCUCAAUUAAAUAAACUUGUUCUUAAGGCAUCACAUGAAGUGUUUAAGUCUAAUUAAUAUUAAUUAAAAAUGAUUAUAUUAAAAAAAAUCCAAAGUAAUUUAUUUUUAUCAUAAGUCAAGUAGGAUAGUUUUAUAAAUAAUUGGUUCUAGUUUCUAGUACUAUUGUACACAAUCGCUAUGUUUGUUGCACCUCCAAAAAAUCUACUACUUGUAAUUAAUUGUAUAUUAUUCUCCAUAUUCACAUCAGUUUAUGUAGUAUGAUUAAUUUAGCAACAAAAUAUAAGUUUACUUGAAAUCGCUUUAAAUUCCUAUGAUAUUAAAGUUUAAGAUUAAAACAAUGUAACAUUAGCCAAAAAGAUUAAGAUCUAUAAUGUAACAUAUAAUAUUUAGAAAAUUCAAGGAAGGGUAAACUCGCACCUGUUCUACCCAGAAGAGUGGCUCAAGUUCACAUUCAUAAUUUAUUUGUUGAAAGAGUAUCUCCACUUUAUCACAAUCGAGCACUUCCAAUUCUUUCAGAAGUGGCCAGCUUGAACUAAACCUUCUAGAGAAAAAUCUUUUGAGUUGGUGUAAACCGGAGAGUGUAAGAGAGGUAAGGUUAGGGAAUAAGAGUAAAAGUGCUGCUUCAUCUUCAUUUUCAUUGGCAACAAUUGCCUCCACUCCACUUUCCGAUAUAUAUAGGUCCUCAAGUUGCACAAGAGCACUCGCCACAGAAACCGGAAAAAGGUUUAGCAAUUUGUUGCAUCCCCUUACUUGCAAUUUCCUUAAUUUGGAAAAUGAAUUUGCUGGAAGUUGGUCAGACCACAAUGCUCUUAUAUUAUCUAGUCCGCGUACAGACAAGGACUCCAAACCUGGGAGUGCAACCUGUGCAAUUGAUGAUCCCUUUAGUUAAUAAUAUAUACAUAUACAUUCCUAAUAAUUAGACACAUGUAAAUAGAAAAUAAGAGGUUAAAGGAGAAUAUAUCAGUAUAACAAAGCACAAAAUUUAAACUAGAUUCAAGAAGAUCAAGAAAGAGAAAAGAAAAGAAAAAGCCUCCAGAUUUUGAAGAUACAAUGAAACUUAACAAAAAAAAAAAAAAACCACCAAAUUUUCCUUUCGAAAUGAGGUAAUAAGAGGAUUUUUUUUUUUUCUUUUUUCUUUGCCUCUCUUUCAAAUUUGAUUAACUUCUAUGGAAAACGUAUUUUAACUAGUUAUGGAAAACAUAUUUUUUUUUUAAAAAACUUUUCUAUAAGAUACAAGUAAUACUUUAAAAAAAUUGUGAUAUCUAAAAAAUUUUUUGAAAAAUUAUUUUUAAAGAAAUAAGGUAAAUCUAUACUUUUUGUAUAAGAUGUUCUACCUUUAUAUACAAAUUUCUGAUUUUUUUUUUAAAAGUGUAUCCAAAUGGACACUAAACUAUCUAGUUUUUAAUUGUUACAACUUUGAAUUGGAUUUUAUGGUAAACUAAUUUACAAGUUAAUGCAUGGAUUCAUCUUAGAUUCCAUCUAUAAAUUUUUUUAAUUAUCUAAUAUAAGACAUUAUAUUAAUGGGUUGAAUUAAUAAUGUAAUUAUAAUUUAUUUGGCAAGUUUCUUCCUUCAAAUAUAUAAAAUGAAAAUAAAUUUUAAAAAAUAAAAAAAAUGAAAAAAAUAAAAAAUAAAAAAAGAUUUUUUUUAUAGUUUUUCUAAGAUGAUUUUGUAGAGUACUGUUAGUUUAUAGUUUUAACUUUAUUUCAUUUUACUUUUAACUUUAUUUAUUGAGGUAUGUUCUUUUUUGAAACUCUUGUUUAGAUUUUAUAGAGGAUAUAAAUUUUCAGAAAAAAAAAAUUAAAUUUAAAUAAAAUAGGAAUAAAGAAAGGCAAAAGGUGGAUGAAUUUUUUUAAGGCAAAAGUUUGAUAACUUGGCACUAUCAUGUAAUGGGUGAAAUUUUUAAAUACUCAACAAAGGCUAGUGAAAUUUAAAUUAAAAGCUUGACAUGUACCUUUUCGACCAAAAUCUUUGGAGUUGGUGUAAAGUUUUGAGUAUGAGAGAGGUUAGUCUAGGGAAUAUUAUUGCACAUUAGUUCAAAUAAAACAUCAACAUUUUUUUUUUUGUUAAAUUCUAAAUGAACACCACUAUAAAUUAAUGCGAUUUGUAUGCUCAAUUAAAUAAACUCGUUCUUAAGGCAUCACAUGAAGUGUUUAAGUCUAAUUAAUAUUAAUUAAAAAUGAUUAUUUUAAAAAAAUCCAAAGUAAUUUAUUUUUAUCAUAAGUCAAGUAGGAUAGUUUUAUAAAUAAUUGGUUCUAGUUUCUAGUAUUAUUGUACACAAUCGCUAUGUUUGUUGCACCUCCAAAAAAUCUACUACUUGUAAUUAAUUGUAUAUUAUUCUCCAUAUUCACAUCAGUUUAUGUAGUAUGAUUAAUUUAGCAACAAAAUAUAAGUUUACUUGAAAUCGCUUUAAAUUCCUAUGAUAUUAAAGUUUAAGAUUAAAACAAUGUAACAUUAGCCAAAAAGACUAAGAUCUAUAAUGUAACAUAUAAAAUUUAGAAAAUUCAAGGAAGGGUAAACUCGCACCUGUUCUACCCAGAAGAGUGGCUCAAGUUCACAUUCAGAAUUUAUUUGUUGAAAGAGUAUCUCCACUUUAUCACAAUCGAGCACUUCCAAUUCUUUCAGAAGUGGCCAGCUUGAACUAAACCUUCUAGAGCAAAAUCUUUUGAGUUGGUGUAAACCGGAGAGUGUGAGAGAGGUAAGGUUAGGGAAUGAGAGUAAAGGUGCUGCUUCAUCUUCAUUUUCAUUGGCAACAAUUGCCUCCACUCCACUCUCCGAUAUAUAAAGGUCCUCAAGUUGCACAAGAGCACUCGCCACAGAAACCGGAAAAAGGUUUAGCAAUUUGUUGCAUCCCCUUACUUGCAAUUUCCUUAAUUUGGAAAAUGAAUUUGCUGGAAGUUGGUCAGGCCACAAUGCUCUUAUAUUAUCUAGUCCGCGUACAGACAAGGACUCCAAACCUGGGAGUGCAACCUGUGCAAUUGAUGAUCCCUUUAGUUAAUAAUAUAUACAUAUACAUUCCUAAUAAUUAGACACAUGUAAAUAGAAAAUAAGAGGUUAAAGGAGAAUAUAUCAGUAUAACAAAGCACAAAAUUUAAACUCUAUUCAAGAAGAUCCAGAAAGAGAAAAGAAAACGCCUUUUGAUUUUGAAGAUCCAAUGAAACUUUAAAAAAAAAAAAAAAAACCUCCAAAUUUUGCUUUCCAAAUGAGGUAAUAGGAGGAUAUUUUUAUUUUAUUUUUUCUUUGCCUCUCUUUCAAAUUUGAUUAACUUCCAUGGAAAACGUAUUUUAACUAGCCAUGGAAAAUGGAUUUUUUUUUUAAAACUUUUAUAUAAGAUACAAGAACUCUUAGAGGGUUACAUUAUGUAAGUAAUACUUUAAAAAAAAUGUUUAAAAAUAUUGUGAUAUCCAAAAAUUUUACUACCUCGGAUUUUAAAUUUUAAAAAAAUUAUUUUUAAAGAAAUAAGGUAAAUCUAUACUUUUUCGUAUAAGAUAUUCUACCUUUAUAUACAAAUUUCUGAUUUUUUUUUUAAAGUGUAUCCAAAUGGACACUAAACUAUCUAGUUUCGAAUUUUUACAACUUUGAAUUGGAUUUUAUGGUAAACUAAUUGACAAUAUAACGCAUGGAUUCAUCUUAGAUUCCAUCUAUAAAUUUUUUAAUUAUCUAAUAUAAGACAUUAUAUUAAUGGGUUGAAUUAAUAAUGUAAUUAUAAUUUAUUUGGCAACUUUCUUCCUUCAAAUAUAUAAGACGAAAAUAUAUUUUAAAAAAUAAAAAAGAAUGAUAAAAAAUAGAAAAUAAAAAUAGCUUAUUUUAUUGUUUUUCUAAGAUGAUUUUGUAGAGUGUUAGUUUAUAGUUUAACUUUAUUUCAUUUUACUUUUAACAUUAUUUAUUGAGGUAUGUUCUUUUUUGAAACUCUUGUUUAGAUUUUAUAGAGAAUAUAAAUUUUAAGAAAAAAAAUGAAAUUUAAAUAAAAUAAGAAUAAAGAAAGGCAAAAGGUGGAUGAAUUUUUUGAAGGCAAAAGUUUGAUAAUUUGGCACUGUCAUGUAAUGGGUGAAAUUUUUAAAUACUCAACAAAGGCUAGUGAAAUUUAAAUUAAAACCUUGACAUGUACCUUUUCGACCAAAAUCUUUGGAGUUGGUGUAAAGUUUUGAGUAUGAGAGAGGUUAGUCUAGGGAAUAUUAUUGCACAUUAGUUCAAAUAAAACAUCAACAUUUUUUUUUGUUAAAUUCUAAAUGAACACCACUAUAAAUUAAUGCGAUUUUGUAUGCUCAAUUAAAUAAACUCGUUCUUAAGGCAUCACAUGAAGUGUUUAAGUCUAAUUAAUAUUAAUUAAAAAUGAUUAUAUCAAAAAAAAUCCAAAGUAAUUUUUUUUUAUCAUAAGUCAAGUAGGAUAGUUUUAUAAAUAAUUGGUUCUAGUUUCUAGUAUUAUUGUACACAAUCGCUAUGUUUGUUGCACCUCCAAAAAAUCUACUACUUGUAAUUAAUUGUAUAUUAUUCUCCAUAUUCACAUCAGUUUAUGUAGUAUGAUUAAUUUAGCAACAAAAUAUAAGUUUACUUGAAAUCGCUUUAAAUUCCUAUGAUAUUAAAGUUUAAGAUUAAAACAAUGUAACAUUAGCCAAAAAGACUAAGAUCUAUAAUGUAACAAAUAAAAUUUAGAAAAUUCAAGGCAGGGUAAACUCGCACCUGUUCUACCCAGAAGAGUGGCUCAAGUUCACAUUCAGAAUUUAUUUGUUGAAAGAGUAUCUCCACUUUAUCACAAUCGAGCACUUCCAAUUCUUUCAGAAGUAGCCAGCUUGAACUAAACCUUCUAGAGCAAAAUCUUUUGAGUUGGUGUAAACCGGAGAGUGUGAGAGAGGUAAGGUUAGGGAAUAAGAGUAAAGGUGCUGCUUCAUCUUCAUUUUCAUUGGCAACAAUUGCCUCCACUCCACUCUCCGAUAUAUAUAGGUCCUCAAGUUGCACAAGAGCACUCGCCACAGAAACCCGAAAAAGGUUUAGCAAUUUGUUGAAUCCCCUUACAUGCAAUUUCCUUAAUUUGGAAAAUGAAUUUGUUGGAAGUUGGUCAGGCCACAAUGCUCUUAUAUUAUCCAGUCCGCAUACAUACAAGGACUCCAAGCCUUGGAGUGCAACCUGUGCAAUUGAUAAUCCCUUUGGUUAAUAAUAUAUACAUAUACAUUCCUAAUGAUUAGACACAUGUAAAUAGAAAAUAAGAGGUUAAAGGAGAAUAUAUCAGUAUAACAAAGCACAAAAUUUAAACUAGAUUAAAGAAGAUCAAGAAAGAGAAAAGAAAAGAAAAAGCCUCCAGAUUUUGAAGAUACAAUGAAACUUAAAAAAAAAAAAAAAAAACCUCCAAAUUUUCCUUUCGAAAUGAGGUAAUAAGAGGAUUUUUUUUUUCUUUUUUCUUUGCCUCUCUUUCAAAUUUGAUUAACUUCUAUGGAAAACGUAUUUUAACUAGUUAUGGAAAACGGAUUUUUUUUUUUAAAAACUUUUAUAUAAGAUACAAGUAAUACUUUAAAAAAAUUGUGAUAUCUAAAAAAUUUUUUGAAAAAUUAUUUUUAAAGAAAUAAGGUAAAUCUAUACUUUUUGUAUAAGAUGUUCUACCUUUGUAUUCAAAUUUCUGAUUUUUUUUUUUUAAAGUGUAUCCAAAUGCACACUAAACUAUCUAGUUUUUAAUUGUUACAACUUUGAAUUGGAUUUUAUGGUAAACUAAUUUACAAGUUAAUGCAUAGAUUCAUCUUAGAUUCCAUCUAUAAAUUUUUUUAAUUAUCUAAUAUAAGACAGUAUAUUAAUGGGUUGAAUUAAUAAUGUAAUUAUAAUUUAUUUGGCAACUUUCUUCCUUCAAAUAUAUAAAAUGAAAAUAAAUUUUAAAAAAUAAAAAAUAAAAAAAAGAUUUUUUUUAUAGUUUUUCUAAGAUGAUUUUGUAGAGUUCUGUUAGUUUAUAGUUUUCACUUUAUUUAUUGAGGUAUGUUCUUUUUUGAAACUCUUGUUUAGAUUUUAUUGAGAAUAUAAAUUUUAAGAAAAAAAAUAAAAUUUAAAUAAAAUAAGAAUAAAGAAAGGCAAAAGCUGGAUGAAUUUUUUUAAGGCAAAAGUUUGAUAAUUUGGCACUCUCAUGUAAUGGGUGAAAUUUUUAAAUACUCAACAAAGGCUAGUGAAAUUUAAAUUAAAACCAUGACAUGUACCUUUUAGACCAAAAUCUUUGGAGUUGGUGUAAUGUUUUGAGUAUGAGAGAGGUUAGUCUAGGGAAUAUUAUUGCACAUUAGUUCAAAUAAAACAUCAACAUUUUUUUUUGUUAAAUUCUAAAUGAACACCACUAUAAAUUAAUGCGAUUUUGUAUGCUCAAUUAAAUAAACUCGUUCUUAAGGCAUCACAUGAAGUGUUUAAGUCUAAUUAAUAUUAAUUAAAAAUGAUUAUAGUAAAAAAAAUCCAAAGUAAUUUUUUUUUAUCAUAAGUCAAGUAGGAUAGUUUUAUAAAUAAUUGGUUCUAGUUUCUAGUAUUAUUGUAGACAAUCGCUAUGUUUGUUGCACCUCCAAAAAAUCUACUACUUGUAAUUAAUUGUAUAUUAUUCUCCAUAUUCACAUCAGUUUAUGUAGUAUGAUUAAUUUAGCAACAAAAUAUAAGUUUACUUGAAAUGGCUUUAAAUUCCUAUGAUAUUAAAGUUUAAGAUUAAAACAAUGUAACAUUAGCAAAAAAGAUUAAGAUCUAUAAUGUAACAAAUAAAAUUUAGAAAAUUCAAGGCAGGGUAAACUCGCACCUGUUCUACCCAGAAGAGUGGCUCAAGUUCACAUUCAGAAUUUAUUUGUUGAAAGAGUAUCUCCACUUUAUCACAAUCGAGCACUUCCAAUUCUUUCAGAAGUAGCCAGCUUGAACUAAACCUUCUAGAGCAAAAUCUUUUGAGUUGGUGUAAACCGGAGAGUGUGAGAGAGGUAAGGUUAGGGAAUAAGAGUAAAGGUGCUGCUUCAUCUUCAUUUUCAUUGGCAACAAUUGCCUCCACUCCACUCUCUGAUAUAUAUAGGUCCUCAAGUUGCACAAGAGCACUCGCCACAGAAACCCGAAAAAGGUUUAGCAAUUUGUUGAAUCCCCUUACAUGCAAUUUCCUUAAUUUGGAAAAUGAAUUUGUUGGAAGUUGGUCAGGCCACAAUGCUCUUAUAUUAUCCAGUCCGCAUACAUACAAGGACUCCAAGCCUGGGAGUGCAACCUGUGCAAUUGAUAAUCCCUUUGGUUAAUAAUAUAUACAUAUACAUUCCUAAUAAUUAGACACAUGUAAAUAGAAAAUAAGAGGUUAAAGGAGAAUAUAUCAGUAUAACAAAGCACAAAAUUUAAACUAGAUUAAAGAAGAUCAAGAAAGAGAAAAGAAAAGAAAAAGCCUCCAGAUUUUGAAGAUACAAUGAAACUUAAAAAAAAAAAAAAAAAACCUCCAAAUUUUCCUUUCGAAAUGAGGUAAUAAGAGGAUUUUUUUUUUAUUUUUUCUUUGCCUCUCUUUCAAAUUUGAUUAACUUCUAUGGAAAACGCAUUUUAACUAGUUAUGGAAAACGGAUUUUUUUUUUUUAAAACUUUUAUAUAAGAUACAAGUAAUACUUUAAAAAAAUUGUGAUAUCUAAAAAAUUUUUUGAAAAAUUAUUUUUAAAGAAAUAAGGUAAAUCUAUACUUUUUGUAUAAGAUGUUCUACCUUUGUAUUCAAAUUUCUGAUUUUUUUUUUUAAAGUGUAUCCAAAUGCACAAUAAACUACCUAGUUUUUAAUUGUUACAACUUUGAAUUGGAUUUUAUGGUAAACUAAUUUACAAGUUAAUGCAUGGAUUCAUCUUAGAUUCCAUCUAUAAAUUUUUUUAAUUAUCUAAUAUAAGACAUUAUAUUAAUGGGUUGAAUUAAUAAUGUAAUUAUAAUUUAUUUGGCAACUUUCUUCCUUCAAAUAUAUAAAAUGAAAAUAAAUUUUAAAAAAUAAAAAAAAUGAAAAAAUAAAAAAUAAAAAAAAGAUUUUUUUUAUAGUUUUUCUAAGAUGAUUUUGUAGAGUACUGUUAGUUUAUAGUUUUCACUUUAUUUAUUGAGGUAUGUUCUUUUUUGAAACUCUUGUUUAGAUUUUAUUGAGAAUAUAAAUUUUAAGAAAAAAAAUGAAAUUUAAAUAAAAUAAGAAUAAAGAAAGGCAAAAGGUGGAUGAAUUUUUUUACGGCAAAAGUUUGAUAAUUUGGCACUAUCAUGUAAUGGGUGAAAUUUUUAAAUACUCAACAAAGGCUAGUGAAAUUUAAAUUAAAACCUUGACAUGUACCUUUUAGACCAAAAUCUUUGGAGUUGGUGUAAAGUUUUGAGUAUGAGAGAGGUUAGUCUAGGGAAUAUUAUUGCACAUUAGUUCAAAUAAAACAUCAACAUUUUUUUUUGUUAAAUUCUAAAUGAACACCACUAUAAAUUAAUGCGAUUUUGUAUGCUCAAUUAAAUAAACUCGUUCUUAAGGCAUCACAUGAAGUAUUUAAGUCUAAUUAAUAUUAAUUAAAAAUGAUUAUAGUAAAAAAAAUCCAAAGUAAUUUUUUUUUAUCAUAAGUCAAGUAGGAUAGUUUUAUAAAUAAUUGGUUCUAGUUUCUAGUAUUAUUGUAGACAAUCGCUAUGUUUGUUGCACCUCCAAAAAAUCUACUACUUGUAAUUAAUUGUAUAUUAUUCUCCAUAUUCACAUCAGUUUAUGUAGUAUGAUUAAUUUAGCAACAAAAUAUAAGUUUACUUGAAAUGGCUUUAAAUUCCUAUGAUAUUAAAGUUUAAGAUUAAAACAAUGUAACAUUAGCCAAAAAGAUUAAGAUCUAUAAUGUAACAUAUAAAAUUUAGAAAAUUCAAGGAAGGGUAAACUCGCACCUGUUCUACCCAGAAGAGUGGCUCAAGUUCACAUUCAGAAUUUAUUUGUUGAAAGAGUAUCUCCACUUUAUCACAAUAGAGCACUUCCAAUUCUUUCAGAAGUGGCCAGCUUGAACUAAACCUUCUAGAGCAAAAUCUUUUGAGUUGGUGUAAACCGGAGAGUGUGAGAGAGGUAAGGUUAGGGAAUAAGAGUAAAGGUGCUGCCUCAUCUUCAUUUUCAUUGGCAACAAUUGCCUCCACUCCACUCUGAAAUAUAUUUAGGUUCUCAAGUUGCACAAGAGCACUCGCCACAGAAACCGGAAAAAGGUUUAGCAAUUUGUUGCAUCCCCUUACUUGCAAUUCCCUUAAUUUGGAAAAUGAAUUUGCUGGAAGUUGGUCAGGCCACAAUGCUCUUAUAUUAUCUAGUCCGCAUACAGAAAAGGACUCCAAGCCUGGGAGUGCAACCUGU
Molecule: long non-coding RNA, 13058 nt
Filed under: Vitis vinifera (wine grape)
Lineage: Eukaryota; Viridiplantae; Streptophyta; Magnoliopsida; Vitales; Vitaceae
Description: long non-coding RNA (VVIN_LNC003280)
Source: RNAcentral